RNAcentral lists this ribosomal RNA (460 nucleotides) under uncultured bacterium. Its description in RNAcentral is "partial 16S ribosomal RNA". It matches the Rfam family "Bacterial small subunit ribosomal RNA", at positions 338 to 795 of the family's 1533-position model. The record is from RNAcentral.
CCUACGGGGGGCAGCAGGGAGGAAUAUUGGUCAAUGGACGAGAGUCUGAACCAGCCAAGUAGCGUGAAGGAUGACUGCCCUAUGGGUUGUAAACUUCUUUUAUAUGGGAAUAAAAUGUUCCACGUGUGGGAUGUUGUAUGUACCAUAUGAAUAAGGAUCGGCUAACUCCGUGCCAGCAGCCGCGGUAAUACGGAGGAUCCGAGCGUUAUCCGGAUUUAUUGGUUUUAAGGGGAGCGUAGGUGGUUUGUUAAGUCAGUUGUGAAAGUGUGCGGCUCAACCGUAAAAUUGCAGUUGAAACUGGCAGUCUUGAGUACAGUAGAGGUGGGCGGAAUUCGUGGUGUAGCGGUGAAAUGCUUAGAUAUCACGAAGAACUCCGAUUGCGAAGGCAGCUCACUGGACUGCAACUGACACUGAGGCUCGAAAGUGUGGGUAUCAAACAGGAUUAGAUACCCCAGUAGUC